Molecule: ribosomal RNA, 496 nt
Filed under: uncultured bacterium
Lineage: Bacteria
Description: partial 16S ribosomal RNA
Rfam family: Bacterial small subunit ribosomal RNA
Source: RNAcentral
AUGAACGCUGGCGGCGUGCCUAAUUCAUGCAAGUCGAGCGAACAGACGAGGAGCUUGCUCCUCUGACGUUAGCGGCGGACGGGUGAGUAACACGUGGAUAACCUACCUAUAAGACUGGGAUAACUUCGGGAAACCGGAGCUAAUACCGGAUAAUAUAUUGAACCGCAUGGUUCAAUAGUGAAAGACGGUUUUGCUGUCACUUAUAGAUGGAUCCGCGCCGCAUUAGCUAGUUGGUAAGGUAACGGCUUACCAAGGCAACGAUGCGUAGCCGACCUGAGAGGGUGAUCGGCCACACUGGAACUGAGACACGGUCCAGACUCCUACGGGAGGCAGCAGUAGGGAAUCUUCCGCAAUGGGCGAAAGCUUGACGGAGCAACGCCGCGUGAGUGAUGAAGGUCUUCGGAUCGUAAAACUCUGUUAUUAGGGAAGAACAAAUGUGUAAGUAACUAUGCACGUCUUGACGGUACCUAAUCAGAAAGCCACGGCUAACUACGUG